This is a long non-coding RNA of Oncorhynchus kisutch (coho salmon), 1484 nucleotides long. RefSeq lists it as uncharacterized. The transcript is spliced from 2 exons. NCBI's taxonomy places the organism in Eukaryota, Metazoa, Chordata, Actinopteri, Salmoniformes, Salmonidae. The record is from RefSeq and is a predicted model, not a curated record.
UAUUUGGAAGGAAUGAAGAUGUGCUUGUGGGACUUGUAUGUUGCCUUUGCAGCUUUAUGACUCAGUGGUUGAAUAAACUUGGUUUGAGCUUUUUCUAGUCGCCCGUGAGUUUUGUUGCCAAUGUUGAUAGGAUUUGUUUUGUUUUGUUGCCAAUGUUGACAGGAUUAACCAAUAUUUAUAGUUGAACUGGAGAGUUCAAAUCAGUAGAACAGGAGCCAGCACAUAAAAACAAGGUAGGCAAAGUUCCUAUCCUCAUCCAUGGUUGGAAAAGCAAAAGGAUAUUAGAACGGUGUUUUGAAGUGAUUUGUGUGUAUUAGCAGUAACAAUAAGGAGAGGUGUUGGUUUAAUGUCUUACUGGGGUGGGGAACCGUGACAGAUUAUGUUGAAAUAGGAGGACAACUGAGUAAAUUUGGUAACGUGUGUUGUCAACAACAGUAAUAUUUGAGGCGUGACACUGGUAUAAGGCAUUAGGUCUCCUGUAUUCUCCAGUAGUAAAUUGUCAGAUGCUUCAGUAUCGUUUUUAAAACAAGGUAUCAGGUUCGGUGUCUAAAUUAUUAAGCACCUAUACUGUAAGUAUUCUCCGGGAAGUGGGUAUCACUACCUGGAAAAAUAGUUUAAAUUGUUGUGUGUUAGAGCCGUGGGUGAGGAAAUCUUAACACCCUAGACACCGUCGGGAGAAGCAUCUGUUACAUCUGCUCCUGCCACUCCCUCUACUGAUCAUCCUGUGUCUCCUUGACCUGCCGCCACUCCCCCAGUGCUCUCUCUCUCUCCCUCUCCCUCUGUGUGUGUGAUUGUGUGGGCAGAGACAGGUGUGCUGGAGUCAGAGCAGAUCCCCACCAGCUGCAACCUGUUCUAUAAUCAAGACCUCUACAAAUACUCAAACCUGCCACUUCCACUGCCAGAUCGUAAUCUCUGCUCAUUCUGCCCGCUCUGACUCAGGUUCCUCUCUCCAGUCUCCUCAUCCUGCUACUCUGCCCUGGAUUACCCACUCUACUGCUCCCUUGGAUUCCCCUCAGGACCUGCUUACCCUGUCCCAACACCUCUCGCUCCAGCCUCAGCCUCCGCACCUGGUUUCCUGCAACGCGCCCGAGCUUCCCCUGGCCUGCACUCCAUCUUCCCCCUGUGUUUCAAUAAAUAUCUUGGUUACGUGAUCCUAGUCUCCUCAUCUGAGUCUGCUCUUGGGUUUCCCUGUACCACUCCGCAUAACAGCGUCAGAAUAAUAACUAUUGAAAUGGCGACCGACAGCCCCGAUCCUCCCUUUAAAGGGGGGGCUAGAGGAAAAAAAGUUUAACAAAGCCAUAGAGGAGCUGAAAGAGACGCAUGAGCAAUCUACCAAUUCGGCUUGAAUAUGGGUCAUUUUUUGCUAAAUUGAUCAAAUUGGUCAGCUUCCCCAUUGAUGGAAAAUUUAAAUCUAAUAAAGAAUUCUGAGAUGCUAUUGUGAGUUGGCACAAUGACAUAAAAUACAAAAUAAAAAUCUCAAUAAA